This 467-nucleotide ribosomal RNA is filed under the name uncultured bacterium. RNAcentral's name for it is "partial 16S ribosomal RNA". It matches the Rfam family "Bacterial small subunit ribosomal RNA", at positions 28 to 507 of the family's 1533-position model. The record is from RNAcentral.
GACGAACGCUGGCGGCGUGCUUAACACAUGCAAGUCGAACGGAAAGGCUCCAGCUUGCUGGAGUACUCGAGUGGCGAACGGGUGAGUAACACGUGGGUAAUCUGCCCUGCACUCUGGGAUAAGCCUGGGAAACUGGGUCUAAUACUGGAUAUGACCUUUCUCCUUAUGGGGUUUGGUGGAAAGUUUUUCGGUGUAGGAUGAGCCCGCGGCCUAUCAGCUUGUUGGUGGGGUGAUGGCCUACCAAGGCGACGACGGGUAGCCGGCCUGAGAGGGUGAUCGGCCACAUUGGUACUGAGAUACGGCCCAGACUCCUACGGGAGGCAGCAGUGGGGAAUAUUGCACAAUGGGCGGAAGCCUGAUGCAGCGACGCCGCGUGAGGGAUGACGGCCUUCGGGUUGUAAACCUCUUUCGGCAGGGACGAAGCGUAAGUGACGGUACCUGCAGAAGAAGCACCGGCUAACUAUGUG